CUAAAUAGUACCGAAACCCCCAGUAGGUCGUUCUCGAACAACCCAGAAUACGAAAUGCCGUCCGAAUCAGUAAAAAUACCGGAUCGGAAUCAGCAAGAACUGAUUCGAAACUCAAAAUACCAAAAAAUAGGAAGAACUGAGAACGAGCAACACUAGUUAUUUGUUUCAAUUAACCAUAAAAAGAAAAAAACAGUUCGAUUAGUGCCAGACACUGAA
Molecule: unclassified non-coding RNA, 216 nt
Filed under: Hevea brasiliensis (rubber tree)
Lineage: Eukaryota; Viridiplantae; Streptophyta; Magnoliopsida; Malpighiales; Euphorbiaceae
Source: RNAcentral